UUAGCAGGAUAAGUGGCACUCUUUAAGCCACACNAAAUGGAGCAAUAACAGGUCUGUGAUGCCCUUAGAUGUCCGAGGCUGCACGCGCGCUACACUGGAGAGUUCAGAAUGUUUCUUCCUACUUCGACAGAAGUGGGUAACCAUGAAAUUCUCUUCGUGACUGGGAUCGGAGCUUGCAAUUAUUCUNNGUNAACGAGGAAUUNNUAGUAAGCACUAUUUCNUCAGAAUGUGCUGAUUAUGUCCCUGUCCUUUGUA
RNAcentral lists this ribosomal RNA (255 nucleotides) under Bdelloidea sp. RG-2014. Its description in RNAcentral is "partial 18S ribosomal RNA". It matches the Rfam family "Eukaryotic small subunit ribosomal RNA", at positions 1411 to 1664 of the family's 1831-position model. The record is from RNAcentral. Lineage: Eukaryota; Metazoa; Rotifera; Eurotatoria.